Molecule: small RNA, 889 nt
Filed under: Vigna angularis var. angularis
Lineage: Eukaryota; Viridiplantae; Streptophyta; Magnoliopsida; Fabales; Fabaceae
Description: Non-protein coding transcript
Source: RNAcentral
CAUUUCUGCUCCUAAUUUUCUCUAGACCCUAAUUUUCUCUCUCAAUUCAUUUCUGUCUUCGUACAUUUUCCUCCAAAAAGUUCACCAUAAUCAUUUUCCUCCAAGCCCCGCACCAUCUUCUUGUUGGUCUUCCCUUGCGUUGUGUUCGUGUCGAGGCGUCGAGAAGUUGUGUUCGCUCUCGGAAUUCCUCGCAGCUGCGAGUGUCUCCAUUAACGUCAGGGAGACUGUCUCACAGCAGUGAACCUUUGAGCGGUGUGGUGCUUCUUUAACUGGAACGGACAGUCCACCAAUCUCUCCUUCUUAUGAGUUUGACGAUGUUGUCAAGGUAUCUCUAUGUUCCUUUCCACUUUCUUUUCUGCCUAGGUGGAACUUUCACCUACCCCACUGCUUACUUUCUCACAAGUACAAUAAUAUUUUUGUAACUAUUCUCUCACUUUUGUUCUUGUUCCUCUUCCCAAUCUCACUUUUGAAUGUUGUUGUAUCUUGCUUCCUAGAACUAAUGCUACGUGUGUAAUAGUAUAUUUCAGCAGUUAAUUUUGAAAUGCUGGAUGUGCUUUAAAUUAGCCUUAAACAUGUUGAAUUGAUUUCGAUAAUAUUCAUGUUAAAUUAGCCUUAAACUAUGCUACGUCUGUAAUGCUUUUUUCUUUGUCAUAUAAUCAUGAAAAACUUAAUUGAAUCAAAUAUAAUGACUUUUAGCUUUUACUACAGAUCAAAAUAGGUCAAGACGCAAAACAGAUUCAGUAAUCAACAACUAAAUGGUUCAAGGAGAAAGAAAAUGCACAUAGAUUUGUGGUUUUGAAAGUGACUUCUAAUUUGAUAAACAAUUAGCCAAUUCUGACCAUAACAGGGCCUUAAGUAGGAAAAUUAAACUUUGUUAGGCUCACUGAUG